AUUGAACGCUGGCGGCAGACCUAACACAUGCAAGUCGAGCGGAUGAAGGGAGCUUGCUCCUGGAUUCAGCGGCGGACGGGUGAGUAAUGCCUAGGAAUCUGCCUGGUAGUGGGGGAUAACGUCCGGAAACGGGCGCUAAUACCGCAUACGUCCUGAGGGAGAAAGUGGGGGAUCUUCGGACCUCACGCUAUCAGAUGAGCCUAGGUCGGAUUAGCUAGUUGGUGGGGUAAAGGCCUACCAAGGCGACGAUCCGUAACUGGUCUGAGAGGAUGAUCAGUCACACGGGAACUGAGACACGGUCCAGACUCCUACGGGAGGCAGCAGUGGGGAAUAUUGGACAAUGGGCGAAGGCCUGACCCAGCCAUGCCGCGUGUGUGAAGAGGGUCUUCGGAUCGUAAAGCACUUUAAUUGGGGAGGAAGGAAAGUAAGUUAAUACCUUGCUGUUUUGACGGUCCCAAAAAAAAAAGCCCCGGCUAACUUCGUG
Molecule: ribosomal RNA, 484 nt
Filed under: uncultured bacterium
Lineage: Bacteria
Description: partial 16S ribosomal RNA
Rfam family: Bacterial small subunit ribosomal RNA
Source: RNAcentral